AAUAAAUUUAAUGAUAUUCUUCAUAAAUAUCAUCUCAUGCUUAUUAUUAGAUACGCUUUAAUUAAUUUCAUAACAUCAACUUAUUGUGUUCAUGAAAGAACUUAUUAUUAACUAUAACAUUGACUUAUACCAUGUAUAAGUUUUGUGUUAUGGCUGAAAAGUAUAACAUUCUUCUAAUAUAUUUUGUAAGGUUUGGUUUUGAAAACUUCCUCCACCACAAACAAACGGUGUCGUCGUCGUCGUCAACGUAGGAACUCGCGGAGGAAGCCAUUGUGGCAUUUUUUUUGUAUUCUGUAAACCUCAGUGUAAAAGCAGUUGCAAAUCAUGAGCGUCCCGGAAAAUCCCCACACUGUCCGGAACAACGAAAUCAUCGGUGCCAGCAGCCACAUCAUGACUAAUGACAGCUGCCCGUCCAGCAGAACCCGAAAUCGGAACUCACCCUGCCGGACAUAUCCAUUUUUCCAUCGCAAUUCAACGGAGGCAUAUCUCCAUUCGACACAAACACCGUCUCCAAAGCCUUCAACAGCGCAUACAGUCAGAAAUCUUUCGUCGAUGAGGUGCAGCCACUUCAACGGUACUUCAACCGCUCGAUCCGUACGAAAAGUGGAGCAACGGUGUUAACGACAUCUCCAGCUACAUCGUCGACACGGCCACUAGAAGGUCUCGUAAAACCAACGCAAUCUAGAUCGCAGUGCUUUGCCGGAGCUUUCUUCCAAGCGCGAUGUGUUGGUGUCGAUUAAAAGAUUGAAUAAAACAGCAAUGUGCGAAUCGAAUUCAAAACUUUGUUAUCACUAUUACAAAAAAAAAACAAAAAAGAAGUAAAAUAUUCAGGAUUUAAAUCAAAAUAUACGGUUAUAAGCUUUAUAAGAUUUAACUAAUAAACGCCAUAACACGUCUAAUAGCGCUUAUUACAAAAGAUGAAUGACAUUCAUAAGUUAAACUUAUACUUUUUAUUCAUUAUGUGUUAUGAUUUAUAUUACACUCUCAAAUUAGUUUUAAAAGGAAAACGAAAUGGCAAAAAUAUAUAACAUAUUCUUAUACAUUCAA
Molecule: long non-coding RNA, 1047 nt
Organism: Aedes albopictus (Asian tiger mosquito)
Lineage: Eukaryota; Metazoa; Arthropoda; Insecta; Diptera; Culicidae
Exons: 2
Source: RefSeq, a predicted model, not a curated record